Molecule: ribosomal RNA, 253 nt
Filed under: uncultured bacterium
Lineage: Bacteria
Description: partial 16S ribosomal RNA
Rfam family: Bacterial small subunit ribosomal RNA
Source: RNAcentral
GACAGAGGGUGCAAACGUUGUUCGGAUUUACUGGGCGUAAAGCGCGUGUAGGCGGCUUUGCAAGUCGGAUGUGAAAUCCCACGGCUCAACCGUGGAAGUGCAUCCGAAACUGCAUUGCUGGAGUCUCGGAGAGGAAGGUGGAAUGCUUGGUGUAGAGGUGAAAUUCGUAGAUAUCAAGCAGAACACCUGCGGCGAAGGCGGCUCACUGGACUGGUAUUGACGCUGAGGUGCGAAAGCGUGGGGAGCAAACAGG